GAUGAAGAACGUAGCGAAAUGCGAUAAGUAGUGUGAAUUGCAGAAUUCGGUGAAUCAUCGAAUCUUUGAACGCACAUUGCGCCCGCCAGUAUUCUGGCGGGCAUGCCUGUUCGAGCGUCAUUUCAACCCUCAGGCCCCCAGUGCCUGGUGUUGGGGAUCGGCCCAGCCUUCCUGUAAGGCCGCCGGCCCCGAAAUCUAGUGGCGGUCUCGCUGUAGUCCUCCUCUGCGUAGUAGCACAACCUCGCAGUUGGAACGCGGCGGUGGCCAUGCCGUUAAACACCCCACUUCUGAAAGUUGACCUCGGAUCAGGUAGGAAUACCCGCUGAACUUAAGCAUAUCAAUAAGCGGAGGA
This 352-nucleotide unclassified non-coding RNA is filed under the name soil metagenome. Its description in RNAcentral is "partial contains 5.8S ribosomal RNA, internal transcribed spacer 2, and large subunit ribosomal RNA". The stretch from base 1 to 120 matches the Rfam family "5.8S ribosomal RNA", at positions 35 to 154 of the family's 154-position model. The record is from RNAcentral.